This is a long non-coding RNA of Asparagus officinalis (garden asparagus), 444 nucleotides long. RefSeq lists it as uncharacterized. The transcript has 3 exons. NCBI's taxonomy places the organism in Eukaryota, Viridiplantae, Streptophyta, Magnoliopsida, Asparagales, Asparagaceae. The record is from RefSeq and is a predicted model, not a curated record.
GUCAAUGGUUGCUAGAAUUGUCACAAAUUCGUGAAAUAACAGAGGUUUCAAGCUUCAGUGAGAAUGCUAAGUUUUAUUUGGAGGAUAUUAUUAGCAACUUUAGUAAAGAUGAUGCGUUGGAAGUGAAAAUUUUUGAAAAAGUUACUGACCAUUAUGUUAAAGCAGUCGAGUACUUCUUGAAACAGAGAUGUCAAUCCAAUACAGAGAUUGCUGAGGUACUGGAAUUUUUCCAUUUUGCGUGUUCAUCAGAGGAUAUAAAUAAUUAGGCCCAUGCUUUGGCACUAAAGGGAGCAUUCGACACUGUCAUAUUCCUGAUCAUGAUUGAGUUGGUGAAAGCAUAUCCAACCUGGCAAAGGAAAAUUCUCAUAUACCCUUGUGGUCUCGCACCCGUGGAUAGGAUGAUGAGGAAGAAGGUGAAGAAGGAGAAGAAGAGGGCUUGAGUAA